This 75-nucleotide transfer RNA is filed under the name Podarcis lilfordi (Lilford's wall lizard). RNAcentral's name for it is "tRNA.Lys". The record is from RNAcentral. Lineage: Eukaryota; Metazoa; Chordata; Lepidosauria; Squamata; Lacertidae.
GCCAAGGGAUAGCUCAGUCGGUAGAGCAUGAAACUCUUAAUCUCAGGGUCAUGGGUUUGAGCCUCACACUGGGCA